RNAcentral lists this ribosomal RNA (459 nucleotides) under uncultured bacterium. RNAcentral's name for it is "bacterial SSU rRNA". It matches the Rfam family "Bacterial small subunit ribosomal RNA", at positions 28 to 507 of the family's 1533-position model. The record is from RNAcentral.
GAUGAACGUUGGCGGUGUGCCUAAUACAUGCAAGUCGAACGGAGUUAGUAGCAAUACUGGCUCAGUGGCGAACGGGUGAGUAACGCGUUGGUGAUCUGCCUUGAAGUGUGGAAUAACGCUUCGAAAGAGACGCUAAUACCGCAUAUGCUCUCGAUUUUCAGAAAGUUGAGAGUAAAGGAUUUAUUCGCUUCAAGAGGAGCCUGCGUCCCAUCAGCUGGUUGGUAGGGUAACGGCCUACCAAGGCUAUGACGGGUAGGGGACCUGAGAGGGUGGCCCCCCACAAUGGAACUGAAACACGGUCCAUACACCUACGGGUGGCAGCAGUAGGGAAUAUUAGAAAUGGACGAAAGUCUGAUCUAGCAACACCGCGUGUGCGAAGAAGGCCUUCGGGUCGUAAAGCACUUUUUGGAAGGAAUAGGAAGGAAUGUACUUCCAGAAUAAGUCUCGGCUAACUACGUG